AAUAGAUACCCUGGUAGUCCACGCCGUAAACGAUGUGUGCUAUUAGUUCGAGGUAUCGACCCCUUGGGCUGAACAGCUAACGCGUUAAGCACACCGCCUGGGGAGUACGAGCGCAAGCUUAAAACUCAAAGGAAUUGACGGGGACCCGCACAAGCAGAGGAUGAUGUGGUUUAAUAUGAAGCUACGCGUAGAACCUUACCGAGGUUUGACAUCCCAGGAAGUCAGUCGAAAGACAGAUGUGCCUUUUGGAACCUGGUGACAGGUGCUGCAUGGCCGUCGUCAGCUCGUGUCGUGAGAUGUUGGGUUAAGUCCCGCAACGAGCGCAACCCUUAUUGUAUGUUGUAUUUUUCAUACGAAACUGCCCGGGCCAACCGGGAGGAAGGUGGGGACGACGUCAGGUCGGCAUGGCCCUUACACCUCGGGGCCACUCACGUCAUACAAUGGCCGGUACAAUGCGUCUUGCCAACCCGCGAGGGGGAGCUAAUCGCAUACCGAAACCGGUCCCAGUUCGGAUAGCAGGCUGCAACUCGCCUGCUUG
This 538-nucleotide ribosomal RNA is filed under the name uncultured bacterium. RNAcentral describes it as "bacterial SSU rRNA". It matches the Rfam family "Bacterial small subunit ribosomal RNA", at positions 777 to 1322 of the family's 1533-position model. The record is from RNAcentral.